CGGAAGGCUUCUGGGCAUAGUCAAGUACUUGCGAAGUCAGAGUGUGAUCGAGAUGGGAUUGACCACUCCAAGAGUUGGAGAAGAAUGAGUCACUGUAUUUCAAUUUAGCAAAACCUUGGCCAGGGUAAUCCAUCAGAUGGAUUUGAUAGUUUGAAAUACAAUGUGGACAACCUGAUCAGAGUUAAUAGUUGAACUCUGGGAUGUCC
RNAcentral lists this long non-coding RNA (206 nucleotides) under Elaeis guineensis (African oil palm). Its description in RNAcentral is "long non-coding RNA (EGUI_LNC021575)". The record is from RNAcentral. Lineage: Eukaryota; Viridiplantae; Streptophyta; Magnoliopsida; Arecales; Arecaceae.